RNAcentral lists this ribosomal RNA (1075 nucleotides) under Pectobacterium carotovorum. Its description in RNAcentral is "bacterial SSU rRNA". It matches the Rfam family "Bacterial small subunit ribosomal RNA". The record is from RNAcentral. Lineage: Bacteria; Pseudomonadati; Pseudomonadota; Gammaproteobacteria; Enterobacterales; Pectobacteriaceae.
AUUGAACGCUGGCGGCAGGCCUAACACAUGCAAGUCGAGCGGUAGCACAGAGGAGCUUGCUCCUUGGGUGACGAGCGGCGGACGGGUGAGUAAUGUCUGGGAAACUGCCUGAUGGAGGGGGAUAACUACUGGAAACGGUAGCUAAUACCGCAUAACCUCGCAAGAGCAAAGAGGGGGACCUUMGGGCCUCUCGCCAUCAGAUGUGCCCAGAUGGGAUUAGCUAGUAGGUGAGGUAAUGGCUCACCUAGGCGACGAUCCCUAGCUGGUCUGAGAGAUGACCAGCCACACUGGAACUGAGACACGGUCCAGACUCCUACGGGAGGCAGCAGUGGGGAAUAUUGCACAAUGGUGGUAGUCCACGCUGUAAACGAUGUCGAUUUGGAGGUUGUGCCCUUGAGGCGUGGCUUCCGGAGCUAACGCGUUAAAUCGACCGCCUGGGGAGUACGGCCGCAAGGUUAAAACUCAAAUGAAUUGACGGGGGCCCGCACAAGCGGUGGAGCAUGUGGUUUAAUUCGAUGCAACGCGAAGAACCUUACCUACUCUUGACAUCCACAGAAUUUGGUAGAGAUACCUUAGUGCCUUCGGGAACUGUGAGACAGGUGCUGCAUGGCUGUCGUCAGCUCGUGUUGUGAAAUGUUGGGUUAAGUCCCGCAACGAGCGCAACCCUUAUCCUUUGUUGCCAGCGAUUCGGUCGGGAACUCAAAGGAGACUGCCGGUGAUAAACCGGAGGAAGGUGGGGAUGACGUCAGUCAUCAUGGCCCUUACGAGUAGGGCUACACACGUGCUACAAUGGCGUAUACAAAGAGAAGCGACCUCGCGAGAGCAAGCGGACCUCAUAAAGUACGUCGUAGUCCGGAUUGGAGUCUGCAACUCGACUCCAUGAAGUCGGAAUCGCUAGUAAUCGUAGAUCARAAUGCUACGGUGAAUACGUUCCCGGGCCUUGUACACACCGCCCGUCACACCAUGGGAGUGGGUUGCAAAAGAAGUAGGUAGCUUAACCUUCGGGAGGGCGCUUACCACUUUGUGAUUCAUGACUGGGGUGAAGUCGUAACAAGGUAACCGUAGGGGAACCUGC